AGUCAAGGGGGGGUAGCAAUACUCAACCGGCGAACGGGUGCGUAACACGUGAGCGACCUACCUUCUUGCGGGGGAUAGCCGGCCCAACGGCCGGGUAAUACCGCAUACGCUCUCUUUGGGGCAUACCGGGGAGAGGAAACUUUCGAGGCAGGAAGAGGGGCUCGCGGCCUAUCAGCUAGUUGGCGGGGUAACGGCCCACCAAGGCGGUGACGGGUAGCUGGUCUGAGAGGAUGGCCAGCCACAUUGGGACUGAGAGACGGCCCAGACUCCUACGGGAGGCAGCAGUGGGGAAUCUUGCGCAAUGGCCGAAAGGCUGACGCAGCGACGCCGCGUGGGGGGAGGAAGGGCUUCGGCUCGUAAACCCCUGUUGCCCGGGGCGAACAUCCCUUUUCGAGGGGACUGACGGUACCGGGUGAGGAAGCACCGGCUAACUCCGUGCCAGCAGCCGCGGUAAUACGGAGGGUGCGAGCGUUGUCCGGAAUCACUGGGCGUAAAGGGCGCGUAGGCGGCCGAGCAAGGUCGCGGUGAAAGCCCGGGGCUCAACCCCGGGUCGGCCGUGGCAACUACUCGGCUCGAGCACUGUAGGGGCGGGUGGAAUUCCGGGUGUAGCGGUGGAAUGCGUAAAGAUCCGGAAGAACACCGGUGGCGAAGGCGGCCCGCUGGCAGGAAGACACCGCAAGGUGUCGGCUGACGCUGAGGCGCGACAGCGUGGGGAGCAAACAGGAUUAGAUACCCUGGUAGUCCACGCCGUAAACGAUGGGCACUAGGUGCUU
RNAcentral lists this ribosomal RNA (773 nucleotides) under uncultured Gemmatimonadota bacterium. RNAcentral's name for it is "bacterial SSU rRNA". It matches the Rfam family "Bacterial small subunit ribosomal RNA", at positions 60 to 825 of the family's 1533-position model. The record is from RNAcentral. Lineage: Bacteria; Pseudomonadati; Gemmatimonadota.